GAACGCUGGUUGCAGUGUUUCUGCGCAGAGCCCUGGAGCUGAGGGGACGGCACAGACGUGCUGCGCGAGGAACUCCCGGUCUGAAGGGCCAGAUGCGAGGCCUAUGGAUGUGGCACCCUAAGAACAAGGGAAACUACAUGAAGCACAAAGGAAGAGAAUGUGGUGCCACUUUCCUGUGAUCCCCAAAUCUUGAUUCUGCUACAGGUACAGUGGUUGGCUACUGUGAAUUUAGUGACUGGCAUGCAAUAUGGAGGCCAAACUGGGCUCAAGAGUGACUGAAAACAAGCCCAGCGGGAAGGACACCACAGAAGGAGGAGACUGUCACAUGCAAGACUGGGACUUCAAAAAAAGUCGUAUUAAAAGGUAUGGUUCAGUUAAGUGCCAGCCUGUCCUGGAUACACCUUACUGUAAGCUUCUUUUUGACCAAGGAAAUUGAGGCACAGCCACUUCCACUUUCUUCUG
Molecule: long non-coding RNA, 462 nt
Organism: Mesoplodon densirostris (Blainville's beaked whale)
Lineage: Eukaryota; Metazoa; Chordata; Mammalia; Artiodactyla; Ziphiidae
Exons: 5
Source: RefSeq, a predicted model, not a curated record